Small nuclear RNA from Nycticebus coucang (slow loris), 136 nucleotides. RefSeq annotates it as U4 spliceosomal RNA. Lineage: Eukaryota; Metazoa; Chordata; Mammalia; Primates; Lorisidae. The record is from RefSeq and is a predicted model, not a curated record. The transcript has a single exon.
AGCUUUGCACAGUGGCAGCAUCGUAGCCAGUGAGGUUUAUCUGAGGCGUGAUUAUUGCUCAUUCAAAGCUUUUCCCAAUACCCCGUCAUGACGACCUGUAAUAUAGUCGGCAAUUUUUGAUGGUCUCUGCAAGAGA